UACGUAGGGCGCAAGCGUUGUCCGGAAUUAUUGGGCGUAAAGAGCUCGUAGGCGGCUUGUCACGUCGGGUGUGAAAGCCCGGGGCUUAACCCCGGGUCUGCAUUCGAUACGGGCUAGCUAGAGUGUGGUAGGGGAGAUCGGAAUUCCUGGUGUAGCGGUGAAAUGCGCAGAUAUCAGGAGGAACACCGGUGGCGAAGGCGGAUCUCUGGGCCAUUACUGACGCUGAAGCUCGAAAGCUAGGGGAGCAAACGGG
RNAcentral lists this ribosomal RNA (253 nucleotides) under uncultured bacterium. RNAcentral's name for it is "partial 16S ribosomal RNA". It matches the Rfam family "Bacterial small subunit ribosomal RNA", at positions 524 to 776 of the family's 1533-position model. The record is from RNAcentral.